Long non-coding RNA from Daphnia magna, 757 nucleotides. RefSeq lists it as uncharacterized. NCBI's taxonomy places the organism in Eukaryota, Metazoa, Arthropoda, Branchiopoda, Diplostraca, Daphniidae. The record is from RefSeq and is a predicted model, not a curated record. The transcript has 3 exons.
CUUGAAAGUCUCAGUUUUGCUUUAACUGCUUUUUGCUCAGCUCUAGUCUCUCGUGGAGUGCCACUAUGUGUAGCCUACUGUAGUGUACAGUCAGUUAGGUUAGAGUUUUGGUCCCAAAAACAUGUAGCUUCUGCUUCUUUGCCAAGAUCUGAGAGCGUUGUCACCCGUUCUUUUUUUUUCAGGAAAAAGAAUUUGUUGCUGAAUGUAAGGAGUCCUGGUGAUGAAACUGGUAAACUUUCAACGGUCUAAAUCCUGUUGAAACAUCGCCAUACCAAAAUUAGAUUGUCCAACAGUGGUCUGAUGGUUACCCGUCAACUUAUGAUGGACCACAACUCAGCUCGUUCGCGGCCGCGCUGUCCGUGAGUCUAAAUCUCAAAGGUGUGUGGUGUAUUGCAGUCUUUAGAUGAAGACUUUGGGACGCAUUUCCACUGUCCAGGUUUGUUCAAUCGGGAUCAACACAGAUCUAUCAUUCAAAGCGUCCUUUUCACCUCUGCUCUUCAUAAUCUUCAGCAUCGAGGGUUAUACAAUACGUGAGGCGGAUGAUGCUCUGACCUGUCAGUGGGAGGGUGAAACAAUUCAUUCUGGAAUUCUGAUUUUAACUAUUUUCACUUCUGCCUUAACUUCAUGGCAAUCUCGUCAGUGUCAGUUAUUUCAUUCAUUAUUUUAGUUUUUUAAAAGCUUGUUGAAAAAUAUGCUUUGAGGUAUUUUUAGAAUUAGCUAUUCCUAAUUGCCUCUCCAUUACAUGAAAUGAUCAUGU